AUUGAACGCUGGCGGCAUGCCUUACACAUGCAAGUCGAACGGCAGCAUGGGUGCUUGCACCUGAUGGCGAGUGGCGAACGGGUGAGUAAUGCAUCGGAACGUACCCGGAAGUGGGGGAUAACGUAGCGAAAGUUACGCUAAUACCGCAUAUUCUGUGAGCAGGAAAGCGGGGGAUCGCAAGACCUCGCGCUUCCGGAGCGGCCGAUGUCGGAUUAGCUAGUUGGCGGGGUAAAGGCCCACCAAGGCAACGAUCCGUAGCGGGUCUGAGAGGAUGAUCCGCCACACUGGGACUGAGACACGGCCCAGACUCCUACGGGAGACAGCAGUGGGGAAUUUUGGACAAUGGGCGCAAGCCUGAUCCAGCCAUGCCGCGUGAGUGAAGAAGGCCUUCGGGUUGUAAAGCUCUUUCGGCGGGGAAGAAAUCGCAUCUCCUAAUACGGGGUGUGGAUGACGGUACCCGAAUAAGAAGCACCGGCUAACUACGUG
This 486-nucleotide ribosomal RNA is filed under the name uncultured bacterium. RNAcentral describes it as "bacterial SSU rRNA". It matches the Rfam family "Bacterial small subunit ribosomal RNA", at positions 29 to 507 of the family's 1533-position model. The record is from RNAcentral.